RNAcentral lists this long non-coding RNA (284 nucleotides) under Mus caroli (Ryukyu mouse). RNAcentral's name for it is "predicted gene 29233 (MGP_CAROLIEiJ_G0005464.1)". The record is from RNAcentral. Lineage: Eukaryota; Metazoa; Chordata; Mammalia; Rodentia; Muridae.
UGACUACAGUGAAAUUUAAUUCCUGCAGUCUUACCUGAUAAAACCGGUCUUUGGCCUGUGGCUGAGCCGCCAUCUGUACGCAGUGAAAUCUUUCCAGCCGAUGUGGCGAGGGUCAUGCCACAGGGUGCGCACCUGAAGGAAAAGUAGCAGGAAAGGUUGAAACACAGCCCCCUUCUAGAUGACGAGGCUUCUUACCUGGCCAGGGGUGUUUCCUGUGUGCCACAGUGCAUUCCGCAGGUGCUCGCCAGGGCCGGUGGUGGAGUUCACAACCUUUACAGACAGGC